CCAUGAUUUCCUUGAAGUUAUUACCUUCAUUAUGCAAGAAAGUAAUGAAUCAGUACUAUAUAUAAUUGAUGAAACUUAUAUCUGAUGAAAUGCUGAAAUUAUUUUAUGUAAAUUCAUAUAUCUGUUAUAACAGUAGGAUAAUUGUGUAAUGUACAACAAUAUAACUGAAGAUUGGAUAUUUAUUCAUAAAUUGUCAUAUAAUAUAUAUAACGCUUCAGCAAAUGUUUCUAACCAACUCGGAAUUGACAUUUGCUUGAGAUAACUUAUGGGAGAAAUUACAUAAUUUACAAUUACAUUAGUUGAAAGUGAUUCCAUUUGUACUUUUGAAUUCAUUUAUGCAUUAGAAUUAAAUUAAAAUAUUCAGAAGCUAUUGCCUGUUCAAUUGAAAAUGGAUCAAUUUUAAAACUUGCACUAAAAUCACAUUUGUACCAAAAGUUUUCACGGAUUAGAUGAAGGGGGGACCUUAAUCAAGAAAUUGGCGUAAUAUAUAAAGUAUUAAUUAAAGUUUAAAAUUAAGUAAUAUGAGUGAGAAUGAAUAAUUAAUUAUUAUGAAAAAAAUCGAUGAAAGCAUCACCGACUUAUCUCAUAAUAAACUAGAAAGUCUGCCGUUUCUUCCUAUUAGUGUGAUUUAUGAAUAGAACAAAUUUGUGUGUGAA
Molecule: unclassified non-coding RNA, 656 nt
Filed under: Hevea brasiliensis (rubber tree)
Lineage: Eukaryota; Viridiplantae; Streptophyta; Magnoliopsida; Malpighiales; Euphorbiaceae
Source: RNAcentral